UGUGAUUUUUAUGAAAAUUUUUUUCAUCAAUCAUACUGUUAUGGUCAUAGACUUAAAGACUCAGCUUUAUAAAUUUCAUAGGACUACUUCCUUCUACUAGGAUCGAUAAAUCUCAUCUAGACGUACACCCUACUCCUAUAGUGGACCAAUUAUCGCCAAUAUCUACUACAAGGGCUCAUUGAGACCCAUGUUAUGUGUCAGUCAAGCAGCCUCACAGCGAGUAGCUUUAACACCACAGGUCAAAAGAUCAGUCAUACAACUGCAGCAUCAAGAAAGUCACUAACGAGUGAGCAGACAUCCAUGUGAGUUUUUGUGUUG
RNAcentral lists this long non-coding RNA (318 nucleotides) under Elaeis guineensis (African oil palm). RNAcentral describes it as "long non-coding RNA (EGUI_LNC044023)". Lineage: Eukaryota; Viridiplantae; Streptophyta; Magnoliopsida; Arecales; Arecaceae. The record is from RNAcentral.